RNAcentral lists this ribosomal RNA (253 nucleotides) under uncultured bacterium. Its description in RNAcentral is "partial 16S ribosomal RNA". It matches the Rfam family "Bacterial small subunit ribosomal RNA", at positions 524 to 776 of the family's 1533-position model. The record is from RNAcentral.
UACGAUGGGGGCGAGCGUUGUUCGGAAUUAUUGGGCGUAAAGGGUGCGUAGGCGGUUUGGUAAGUCUUAUGUGAAAUCUACAGGCUCAACUUGUAGUCUGCAUGAGAAACUGCCGGGCUUGAGUAUGGGAGAGGUGAGUGGAAUUCCUGGUGUAGCGGUGAAAUGCGUAGAUGUCAGGAGGAACACCUGUGGCGAAAGCGGCUCACUGGACCAUAACUGACGCUGAUGCACGAAAGCUAGGGGAGCAAACAGG